AGAAUUCUAUUUGGAAUUUCAGAAGCCUGAAAGGAAGGCUCUGGCCAGCCUCUUCUGAAGACUGAGGCCAGAUUCACUGGCUUCUUCACCUCCCUACCUGACACAGGUCUCAGCAGUGGAUGAGUGUAUCAAUUGUAAAUGUCUUAAGUAAUAGAAAGCUCGGAUACAAGUUUAUUUUUCACAGAGCUAGCAAUUGAGAAGUGGGCAGAUAAAGGUGUUGGCUUCAUGGCCUAAAAUUGUCAGAGCUGAAUCCAGGUCAUUUUCUCAUGCUUUUCCUGCUGAUCACAAGAUGACUCCUCCAGUUCAGACAAAGCAGCCUUGCAAAGAGCCAAGGGAAAAACCAUCUGGCCUUGGCACAGGAGAAUCUGUAGAAGCCCUGAAGCUGCUGAGCAUCACAUUUCUGCUGUGCUCUCUGACUUGCCUCUUGCUGGAGACUGUUGCUUCCUCUGUGUCACCUUUAUCUGCCUUCAGAGUACAAGACCAGGAUGCCCUGCCAGAACACUCAGUGGGUGUGUUUGCUGUUAUGAUGAAAGUUCCGGCCUCCAUAGGACCUAAGAUUCUCGUCGAAGAAAAUUCCAGGUCCUGGCUGAGCAACUUCAAGGAUUAUCUCUGUGAUCUCAUCAGGAGCCACAUCCCUCCAGCAGCCAUUUUUAUUUUUCUUAUCAUGUCAGCAGUACUGGGGACCCUCUGCUGCCUCACUGUUCUAAUAGGUGAACCUGUCCAAUGAAGUAUGAGAAGAUUCAAUGGACAAAUGUAAUGCUUAGCUUGCUGGAUUCAAAGAGAGUGGAGAGUGUGCUAUUUGUAUACAAUAAGGAAGUAUCUACCGGGUAAAAUUAAAUCAUCUUAUAUCUUAAACGAUCUUUGCCUUCAUUUUCUCCUUUAAAAC
Molecule: long non-coding RNA, 886 nt
Filed under: Capra hircus (goat)
Lineage: Eukaryota; Metazoa; Chordata; Mammalia; Artiodactyla; Bovidae
Description: lncRNA (ENSCHIG00000003807.1)
Source: RNAcentral